UACGGAGGAUGCGAGCGUUAUCCGGAUUUAUUGGGUUUAAAGGGUGCGUAGGCGGGCUUUUAAGUCAGCGGUAAAAAUUCGGGGCUCAACCCCGUCCGGCCGUUGAAACUGGGGGUCUUGAGUGGGCGAGAAGAAGGCGGAAUGCGUGGUGUAGCGGUGAAAUGCAUAGAUAUCACGCAGAACCCCGAUUGCGAAGGCAGCCUUCCGGCGCCCUACUGACGCUGAGGCUCGAAAGCGUGGGUAGCGAACAGG
Molecule: ribosomal RNA, 252 nt
Filed under: uncultured bacterium
Lineage: Bacteria
Description: partial 16S ribosomal RNA
Rfam family: Bacterial small subunit ribosomal RNA
Source: RNAcentral